CUAAAUCAACACUACGCAGUAGUAGGUAACGCCGGCCUCAGUCUCUCCGCAGCGCUCUCAAAAAGGGGUUUGGAAGGAGGUUUCGUUCGGGUCCCAGUUUCUGGGUUUCCCACGGCGGUUGAAACCUAAGUGAUCUGCGACCGCGCCGACUGCGGCUCGGGAGGCUUGGGUACAGCGGCGGCCACCAAACGAUCACAGGCGCUACGACUCUCAGCCUCUGGGGCUCCGGGAUUCAGGCUGCGGGCGUCCCCCGCCCCUCCCAAACGCGGACCCUUCCUUCCCUGUCCCUGGCUCUCCGCACCUGAACUUCGGGGGAGCCCGCGCCGCCAAACUUUCCGCCGACUUGCAGCGAACUCCGGCCCCGGCCGCGCACCGGGCCCCGGGGGAGGAGAGGGAGGUAGGCGGGGAAGGGGAGGGGGCCGGCCUCCGGGGGGGUCGGGGGAGGGCCGUGGCCCGACACCUACCGGCUCUCUGAGUCGUCCAAGCCGCCACCGCCGCCGCCGCGGGGACGAGGGGGAGGGGCGGGGCGGUGAGCCGCGCUCCGCUCUAGGCACCGCCGCCGCCGUGCGCUCCGCUCCAGCUCCGCCGGCCGCUGAGCCCGGGUCCGGAGCCGGAGUCAAGCUGCCUCGGCUGGCCCGAGGCGGGGAGGGGGGGGGAGCCUGCAGCACCUGCCCCUCCUCCCCCUCCCCGCGGCCCAAAUUAAAAAACAACAAAAAGCAA
This is a long non-coding RNA of Artibeus jamaicensis (Jamaican fruit-eating bat), 720 nucleotides long. RefSeq lists it as uncharacterized. The transcript is spliced from 2 exons. The record is from RefSeq and is a predicted model, not a curated record. Lineage: Eukaryota; Metazoa; Chordata; Mammalia; Chiroptera; Phyllostomidae.